CCUACGGGUGGCAGCAGUGGGGAAUAUUGCUCACUGGGCGCAAGCCUGAACCAGCAACGCCGCGUGGAGGAUGAAGGCUUUCGGAUUGUAAACUCCUUUUGUUAGAGAAGAUAAUGGUGGCAUUUAACGAAUAAGAACCGGCUACCUCCGGGCCAGCAGCCGCGGUAAUACGGAGGGUACAAGGGUCAUUCGGAUGCAUUGGGCGUAAAGGGAGGGGAGGCGGGGUAGCAAGUCAGAUGUGAAAACCUAGGGCUUAACCAUCGAACUGCAUUGGUGACUGUGAUUCUAGAGUAUUGGAGAGGUAGAUGGAAUUCUUGGUGUAGGGGUAAAAUCCGUAGAGAUCAAGAGGAAUACUGAUUGCGAAGGCGACCUGCUAGAGCGUAACUGACGCUGAGGCGCGAAAGCGUGGGGAGCAAACAGGAUUAGAUACCCUAGUAGUC
RNAcentral lists this ribosomal RNA (440 nucleotides) under uncultured bacterium. RNAcentral's name for it is "partial 16S ribosomal RNA". It matches the Rfam family "Bacterial small subunit ribosomal RNA", at positions 338 to 795 of the family's 1533-position model. The record is from RNAcentral.